CCAGGCCGCCGGGCGGCCGCGGCGCACGUCUCGUACGCGCGUCGAGGAAAGUCCGGGCUCCGCGGGACAGGGCGCUGGGUAACUCCCAGGCAGGGUGACUUGACGGAUAGUGCACAGAAACACACCGCCUACCCGGUCGACCACGCUCUUUCUGUGGCGACCGGCGGUAAGGGUGAGAUGGUGCGGUAAGAGCGCACCAGCGGUCGGGUGACCGGCCGGCUGAGCAAACCCCGCCCGGAGCAAGACCAAAUAGGGAGACUGAGGCUUGUCCCGGGCCGUCUCCGGGUAGGUCGCUCGAGGCGGCGGGUAACCGUCGUCCCAGAUGGAUGGUCGCCAACCGAUGCCCCGAGCAAUCGGAGCAUCGCGAACAGAACCCGGCUUACAGGCGGCCUGGCAAA
This 398-nucleotide RNase P RNA is filed under the name Chloroflexota bacterium. RNAcentral describes it as "Chloroflexi bacterium RNase P RNA component class A". It matches the Rfam family "Bacterial RNase P class A". From Rfam's summary of the family: Ribonuclease P (RNase P) is a ubiquitous endoribonuclease, found in archaea, bacteria and eukarya as well as chloroplasts and mitochondria. Its best characterised activity is the generation of mature 5'-ends of tRNAs by cleaving the 5'-leader elements of precursor-tRNAs. The record is from RNAcentral. Lineage: Bacteria; Bacillati; Chloroflexota.